RNAcentral lists this ribosomal RNA (460 nucleotides) under uncultured bacterium. RNAcentral describes it as "partial 16S ribosomal RNA". It matches the Rfam family "Bacterial small subunit ribosomal RNA", at positions 338 to 795 of the family's 1533-position model. The record is from RNAcentral.
CCUACGGGAGGCAGCAGUGAGGAAUAUUGGUCAAUGGACGGAAGUCUGAACCAGCCAUGCCGCGUGCAGGAUGACGGCCCUAUGAGUUGUAAACUGCUUUUGUACAAGGGUAAAACUGAACACGUGUAUUUAGUUGCAAGUACUGUAUGAAUAAGGAUCGGCUAACUCCGUGCCAGCAGCCGCGGUAAUACGGAGGAUCCAAGCGUUAUCCGGAUUUAUUGGGUUUAAAGGGAGCGUAGGCGGAUUGUUAAGUUAGAGGUGAAAUGUCCGGGCUUAACUCGGGAACUGCAUUUGAUACUGUCUAUCUAGAGAGUAGGUGCGGUAGGCGGAAUGUAUGGUGUAGCGGUGAAAUGCUUAGAUAUCACACAGAACACCGAUUGCGAAGGCAGCUUACCAAUCUAUAUCUGACGUUGAGGCACGAAAGCGUGGGGAGCAAACAGGAUUAGAUACCCUUGUAGUC